This 473-nucleotide ribosomal RNA is filed under the name uncultured bacterium. RNAcentral describes it as "bacterial SSU rRNA". It matches the Rfam family "Bacterial small subunit ribosomal RNA", at positions 30 to 484 of the family's 1533-position model. The record is from RNAcentral.
AUUGAACGCUGGCGGCAUGCCUUACACAUGCAAGUCGAACGGCAGCGCGGGGCAACCUGGUGGCGAGUGGCGAACGGGUGAGUAACAUAUCGGAACAUACCCUAGAGUGGGGGAUAACGUAGCGAAAGUUACGCUAAUACCGCAUACGCACUAAGGUGGAAAGUGGGGGAUUCGCAAGAACCUCAUGCUCAUGGAGUGGCCGAUAUCUGAUUAGCUAGUUGGUGAGGUAAAGGCUCACCAAGGCGACGAUCAGUAGCUGGUUUGAGAGAACGACCAGCCACACUGGAACUGAGACACGGUCCAGACUCCUACGGGAGGCAGCAGUGGGGAAUUUUGGACAAUGGGGCAACCCUGAUCCAGCAAUGCCGCGUGAGUGAAGAAGGCCUUCGGGUUGUUAAAAGGACGUACUUUUGUUCUAGGGAAGAAACGGUAGAGUUCUUAAUAUUACCACGACUAGCUGACGGUACCUCGAA